RNAcentral lists this transfer RNA (62 nucleotides) under Staphylinoidea sp. 11 KM-2017. RNAcentral describes it as "tRNA-Cys". The record is from RNAcentral. Lineage: Eukaryota; Metazoa; Arthropoda; Insecta; Coleoptera.
AGUCUUAUAUUCAAAAAUGAUUUUAAAUUGCAAAUUUAAAGGUAGAAAAAUUCUUAAGGCUU